This 255-nucleotide ribosomal RNA is filed under the name uncultured bacterium. Its description in RNAcentral is "partial 16S ribosomal RNA". It matches the Rfam family "Bacterial small subunit ribosomal RNA", at positions 524 to 776 of the family's 1533-position model. The record is from RNAcentral.
UACGUAGGGACCGAGCGUUGUCCGGAAUCAUUGGGCGUAAAGAGCGUGUAGGCGGCCACUUAAGUCUUGCGUGAAAUCUUGCGGCUCAACCGCAAGCGGUCGUGGGAAACUGGGUGGCUAGAGUGCGGGAGAGGAGAGUGGAAUUCCGGGUGUAGCGGUGGAAUGCGUAGAGAUCCGGAAGAACACCGGUGGCGAAGGCGGUCUGACUGGGGGUCGAACUGACGCUGAGGCGCGACAGCGUGGGGAGCAAACAGG